UGCUAAAGAGCUUUAGAAUGACUUCUAUGCACUAUAAUUUACAAGAUUGAUAGAUAAUAUUAUUUAGUGUGUGUGAAUGCAUUUAAAUUGAUAUUGUCACUAAAUUUGAAUUUAUGUAGUUUGCUAUUAGUAUUUUGUGCUAUUGGAACUUAGCCAAGUAAAAGUUAUGAGGCUCAUUUUCACUUUUUGUCUAUGUAUGCACGAUUGGGUGCUAAGAUAUGAUCAUUG
Molecule: long non-coding RNA, 228 nt
Filed under: Vigna radiata
Lineage: Eukaryota; Viridiplantae; Streptophyta; Magnoliopsida; Fabales; Fabaceae
Description: long non-coding RNA (VRAD_LNC010507)
Source: RNAcentral